GACGAACGCUGGCGGCGUGCUUAACACAUGCAAGUCGAACGGAAAGGCCCCUUUUGGGGUACUCGAGUGGCGAACGGGUGAGUAACACGUGAGUAACCUGCCCUUGACUUCGGGAUAACUUCAGGAAACUGGGGCUAAUACCGGAUAGGAAUCCUUGCUGCAUGGUGGGGGUUGGAAAGCUUCGGCGGUUUUGGAUGGACUCGCGGCUUAUCAGCUUGUUGGUGGGGUAGUGGCUUACCAAGGCUUUGACGGGUAGCCGGCCUGAGAGGGCGACCGGCCACAUUGGGACUGAGAUACGGCCCAGACUCCUACGGGAGGCAGCAGUGGGGAAUAUUGCACAAUGGGCGGAAGCCUGAUGCAGCAACGCCGCGGGCGGGAUGACGGCAUUCGGGUUGUAAGCCGCUUUCAGCAGGGGCGAAGCUUGUGGUGACGGUACCUGCAGAAGAAGCACCGGCUAACUACGUG
This 465-nucleotide ribosomal RNA is filed under the name uncultured bacterium. RNAcentral's name for it is "partial 16S ribosomal RNA". It matches the Rfam family "Bacterial small subunit ribosomal RNA", at positions 28 to 507 of the family's 1533-position model. The record is from RNAcentral.